GCGGCAAUAGUCUAGCGGUAGGACAGGGGCUUCCCAAGCCUCUAACCCGGGUUCAAAUCCCGGUUGCCGCA
The sequence is a transfer RNA, 71 nucleotides long. It matches the Rfam family "tRNA". Rfam says of the family: Transfer RNA (tRNA) molecules are approximately 80 nucleotides in length. Their secondary structure includes four short double-helical elements and three loops (D, anti-codon, and T loops). The record is from Rfam.